This 431-nucleotide ribosomal RNA is filed under the name uncultured bacterium. Its description in RNAcentral is "partial 16S ribosomal RNA". It matches the Rfam family "Bacterial small subunit ribosomal RNA", at positions 29 to 507 of the family's 1533-position model. The record is from RNAcentral.
AACGAACGCUGGCGGCAGGCCUAACACAUGCAAGUCGAGCGCCCUUUCGGGGGAGCGGCGGACGGGUGAGUAACGCGUGGGAAUAUGCCCUUCUCUACGGAAUAGCCUCGGGAAACUGAGAGUAAUACCGUAUACGCCCUGUGGGGGAAAGAUUUAUCGGGGAAGGAUUGGCCCGCGUUGGAUUAGGUAGUUGGUGGGGUAAUGGCCUACCAAGCCGACGAUCCAUAGCUGGUUUGAGAGGAUGAUCAGCCACACUGGGACUGAGACACGGCCCAGACUCCUACGGGAGGCAGCAGUGGGGAAUCUUAGACAAUGGGGGCAACCCUGAUCUAGCCAUGCCGCGUGAGUGAUGAAGGCCUUAGGGUUGUAAAGCUCUUUCAGCUGGGAAGAUAAUGACGGUACCAGCAGAAGAAGCCCCGGCUAACUCCGUG